RNAcentral lists this ribosomal RNA (253 nucleotides) under uncultured bacterium. Its description in RNAcentral is "partial 16S ribosomal RNA". It matches the Rfam family "Bacterial small subunit ribosomal RNA", at positions 524 to 776 of the family's 1533-position model. The record is from RNAcentral.
GACGAACCGUGCGAACGUUGUUCGGAAUCACUGGGCUUAAAGGGCGCGUAGGCGGCUCCGCAAGUCGGGGGUGAAAUCUUUCGGCUUAACCGGAAAAGUGCCUCUGAUACUGCGGAGCUCGAGGGAGGUAGGGGCGGACGGAACUUCCGGUGGAGCGGUGAAAUGCGUUGAUAUCGGAAGGAACACCUGUGGCGAAAGCGGCUCACUGGACCACAACUGACGCUGAGGCACGAAAGCGUGGGGAGCAAACAGG